AUACGUAGGGGGCGAGCGUUGUCCGGAAUGAUUGGGCGUAAAGGGCGCGUAGGCGGCGCGGUAAGUCUGGAGUGAAAGUCCUGCUUUCAAGGUGGGAAUUGCUUUGGAUACUGCCGCGCUUGAGUGCAGGAGAGGUUAUCGGAAUUCCCGGUGUAGCGGUGAAAUGCGUAGAGAUCGGGAGGAACACCAGUGGCGAAGGCGGGUAACUGGACUGCAACUGACGCUGAGGCGCGAAAGUGUGGGGAGCAAACAGGAUUAGACACCCUGGUAGUCCACACUGUAAACGAUGAAUGCUAGGUGUAAGAGGUAUCGACCCCUUUUGUGCCGGAGUCAACACAAUAAGCAUUCCGCCUGGGGAGUACGGCCGCAAGGUUGAAACUCAAAUGAAUUGACGGGG
This 397-nucleotide ribosomal RNA is filed under the name uncultured bacterium. RNAcentral describes it as "partial 16S ribosomal RNA". It matches the Rfam family "Bacterial small subunit ribosomal RNA", at positions 523 to 918 of the family's 1533-position model. The record is from RNAcentral.